UUUUUUUUUUUUUGGCAAGAAAAGAAAAAGUCUUCUAACAUAUCUACUUCUCCCUCAGGCAUUGAGGAAUUUGCUCCCUGCUUCAUUUGCUUCCCUGCUGUGCUCUGGUGCAUGAUUCAGAGCAGACCUGUCCUGCCAUGUAUGCUUCACACCACUUCAACCCGACAGACUGAACAGUGAAGGAACCAACUCCAGGAGAGACUGUCCUACCUGGGGAGAUAUUUCUGCAGGGCUGCAAAGCUCUGCAUUAUCCCCCAGGUUAGAUUUGGCUUUGAAAAGCCACCCACUGCCUCAUAAAGGCUGCGCCAACUAUGCAUGAGCAUCCUCCAGCUGGAGACACUUCCUGGGUUCCUGGUUUUCACCAUAAGAAACCUCCACGUGAAUCUCCCCCAGGAGCAGGCUUGUCUUGCAGAGUCAGCCUGUGUCUGCUUCUUCCUUGACUUCUUCUGCUGGUGGGAUUUAUGGCGUUGGUACCCCACAGGAAGUGGAGAAAAGCUGUAAUUUUUUCAUGGUGCAAGGCACUGUACAAAUGCAGAAUGCAGGAAAACAAGAAGAGGCCAGCUGGUGCUGAGCUGGGUGAAUCAGCAACCACUCGCAUUUUUCUUGUAUUUAUUUUUAUCAUAGAGAAGGUUUUUUUUGUUCCUGAGUCAGGGGGAGACUGUCUAAAGUACUGCUGGUAUUCGCUUCACUACCUUCCUAGAAUAAAGGGACCAUGUCUUCAAGAUAAUGUUGAUGAAGAGCCAUAUUCAAGUUGUCUAGCUACAGGAUGCAGCUUUAGAAUCAUAGUACCUUCUCUGUACAGGGAGCUAUGA
This is a long non-coding RNA of Anser brachyrhynchus (Pink-footed goose), 812 nucleotides long. NCBI's taxonomy places the organism in Eukaryota, Metazoa, Chordata, Aves, Anseriformes, Anatidae. The record is from Ensembl.